CACGUAGUUAGCCGUGGCUUAUUCGUCAGGUACCGUCACUUGCUUCGUCCCUGACAAAAGAGGUUUACAACCCGAAAGCCUUCUUCCUUCACGCGGCGUUGCUGGGUCAGGCUUGCGCCCAUUGCCCAAUAUUCCCCACUGCUGCCUCCCGUAGGAGUCUGGGCCGUGUCUCAGUCCCAAUGUGGCCGGCCAACCUCUCAGUCCGGCUACUGAUCGUCGCCUUGGUGGGCCGUUACCCCGCCAACUAGCUAAUCAGACGCGAGCUCAUCUCAGAGCGAUAAAUCUUUGACAGCCAGGGAGAUGCCUCCCAGCUGUAUCAUGCGGUAUUAGCGGCUGUUUCCAGCCGUUAUUCCCCACUCCAAGGCAGAUUGCUCACGCGUUACUCACCCGUCCGCCACUUUCCCCACCUUCACUUGGACGAAUCCUCGAUCCAAUGGUUCUCGUUCGACUUGCAUGUGUUAAGCACGCCGCCAGCGUUCAUCCUGAGCCAGGAUA
RNAcentral lists this ribosomal RNA (495 nucleotides) under uncultured Oscillospiraceae bacterium. RNAcentral describes it as "partial 16S ribosomal RNA". Lineage: Bacteria; Bacillati; Bacillota; Clostridia; Eubacteriales; Oscillospiraceae. The record is from RNAcentral.